AUUACGGUCAACUGAAAAAAUGUUAAUUCAAUGCGAAUCUAAACUAAUCCCAUCCUUUUCGACUUUCCUUCUGCAAAUUCAUUGAAUAUUGUGGAAUAUAUUUGUAAAUGUAUUUUCACCUCAGAAAGUCAUCGUCUUCCUCUCGCUUUCUCCAAUUUUUUUUGCAGCUCCUCCUCCGAAAUCUGGCGAUGUCGUGCUCUCUCCGGUGUAGAUCGAUGUUUUGCACCAGAGCUUCUCUCCGAUCAUCUCUGCGUUCCGCCGAACAUCGCCCUCUUCUUUUACAAUACAAUGAUAUUAGAUCAACGAUUAAUCAUUAAUUUUGAUUAUACAAUUGGAAGUUUUGGAUACCAUCGUUAUGAAUGUUUUGUUGAACUUCUGCAUUUUUUUCAUUUUUUAUGUUGCACCUAAAAAUUAAAUAUCGUAUGUUGCAAUCUAGGUCAGAAACUAUGAUUUGUUUGAGGCACAAAUUAUAUAUUUGUUUUAAAUUUUUUU
Molecule: long non-coding RNA, 492 nt
Organism: Salvia miltiorrhiza (redroot sage)
Lineage: Eukaryota; Viridiplantae; Streptophyta; Magnoliopsida; Lamiales; Lamiaceae
Exons: 2
Source: RefSeq, a predicted model, not a curated record